This 497-nucleotide ribosomal RNA is filed under the name uncultured bacterium. Its description in RNAcentral is "partial 16S ribosomal RNA". It matches the Rfam family "Bacterial small subunit ribosomal RNA", at positions 28 to 507 of the family's 1533-position model. The record is from RNAcentral.
GAUGAACGCUGGCGGCGUGCCUAAUACAUGCAAGUCGAGCGAACGGACGAGAAGCUUGCUUCUCUGAUGUUAGCGGCGGACGGGUGAGUAACACGUGGAUAACCUACCUAUAAGACUGGGAUAACUUCGGGAAACCGGAACUAAUACCGGAUGAUAUUUUGAACCGCAUGGUUCAAAAGUGAAAGACGGUCUUGCUGUCACUUAUAGAUGGAUCCGCGCUGCAUUAGCUAGUUGGUAAGGUAACGGCUUACCAAGGCAACGAUGCAUAGCCGACCUGAGAGGGUGAUCGGCCACACUGGAACUGAGACACGGUCCAGACUCCUACGGGAGGCAGCAGUAGGGAAUCUUCCGCAAUGGGCGAAAGCCUGACGGAGCAACGCCGCGUGAGUGAUGAAGGUCUUCGGAUCGUAAAACUCUGUUAUUAGGGAAGAACAUAUGUGUAAGUAACUGUACACAUCUUGACGGUACCUAAUCAGAAAGCCUCGGCUAACUACGUG